UACGAAGGGGGCGAGCGUUGUUCGGAAUUACUGGGCGUAAAGGGCGCGUAGGCGGCCUUGUCAGUCAGACGUGAAAUCCCCAGGCUUAACCUGGGAACUGCGUCUGAUACUACAAGGCUUGAGUGCGGGAGAGGGAUGUGGAAUUCCAGGUGUAGCGGUGAAAUGCGUUGAUAUCUACAGGAACUCCGGUGGCGAAAGCGGCGUGCUGGACCUUUUCUGACGCUGAGGCGCGAAAGCUAGGGGAGCAAACGGG
This 253-nucleotide ribosomal RNA is filed under the name uncultured bacterium. Its description in RNAcentral is "partial 16S ribosomal RNA". It matches the Rfam family "Bacterial small subunit ribosomal RNA", at positions 524 to 776 of the family's 1533-position model. The record is from RNAcentral.